GGGCCCGCACAAGCAGUGGAGCAUGUGGUUUAAUUCGAUGCAACGCGAAGAACCUUACCAGGGUUUGACAUAUCACUUAUUUUAUAAUAAGGUUUUAAUGAAAGUUAAUUUUAGAUUACAGGUGGUGCAUGGCUGUCGUCAGCUCGUGUCGCGAGAUGUUGGGUUAAGUCCCGCAACGAGCGCAACCCACGUCGUUAGUUGCCAGCAUUUAGUUGGGCACUCUAGCGAGACCGCCGGUGAUAAACCCGGAGGAAGGUGUGGAUGACGUCAAGUCAUCAUGCCCCUUACAUCCUGGGCUACACACGUACUACAAUGCUACGGACAAAGGGCAGCAAACUCGCGAGAGCUAGCAAA
This 354-nucleotide ribosomal RNA is filed under the name uncultured bacterium. RNAcentral's name for it is "bacterial SSU rRNA". It matches the Rfam family "Bacterial small subunit ribosomal RNA", at positions 917 to 1271 of the family's 1533-position model. The record is from RNAcentral.